Molecule: ribosomal RNA, 207 nt
Filed under: uncultured Syntrophaceae bacterium
Lineage: Bacteria; Pseudomonadati; Thermodesulfobacteriota; Syntrophia; Syntrophales; Syntrophaceae
Description: partial 16S ribosomal RNA
Rfam family: Bacterial small subunit ribosomal RNA
Source: RNAcentral
CGUGUAGGCGGCUUGACAAGUCAGAUGUGAAACCCCUGGGCUUAACCCAGGAAGUGCAUUUGAAACUGUCUUGCUUGAGUAAGGGAGAGGAAAGUGGAAUUCCCGGUGUAGAGGUGAAAUUCGUAGAUAUCAGGAGGAACACCGGUGGCGAAGGCGACUUUCUGGCCCUAUACUGACGCUGAGACGCGAAAGCGUGGGUAGCAAACA